CUGUCGAGGAUCGUGAGUAAUUUGAAGCUUGUGGUGUUUCCUAACCCUUAUAGAGAAGAUCCCGGGAAGGCUUUGAGGGAUUGGGAUCUUUGGGGCCCAUUUUUCUUCAUCGUGUUUCUGGGGCUCACUCUCUCAUGGUCUGCUUCUGUGAAGAAGUCUGAAGUUUUCGCUGUUGCAUUUGCGCUACUUGCAGCUGGCGCUGUAAUCUUGACAUUGAAUGUUUUGCU
RNAcentral lists this unclassified non-coding RNA (227 nucleotides) under Hevea brasiliensis (rubber tree). Lineage: Eukaryota; Viridiplantae; Streptophyta; Magnoliopsida; Malpighiales; Euphorbiaceae. The record is from RNAcentral.